GUUCCUGUAGUUGAAUACAACGGUGGUUUUUCAAGCCAUUGGUCCUGGUUAGAAUCCUGGUAGGAAUC
Molecule: transfer RNA, 68 nt
Filed under: Craterocephalus centralis (Finke River hardyhead)
Lineage: Eukaryota; Metazoa; Chordata; Actinopteri; Atheriniformes; Atherinidae
Also listed under: 1 other name
Description: tRNA-Glu
Rfam family: tRNA
About the family: Transfer RNA (tRNA) molecules are approximately 80 nucleotides in length.
Source: RNAcentral